Long non-coding RNA from Heterocephalus glaber (naked mole-rat), 1046 nucleotides. The record is from Ensembl. NCBI's taxonomy places the organism in Eukaryota, Metazoa, Chordata, Mammalia, Rodentia, Bathyergidae.
AUGCAUUCCUGUAAUCUCAGUUACUUGGGACAUUGAGGCAGGAGGAUCAUAAGUUUAAGGUCAGCCUGAGCAAUUUAGUGAGAUCCUGUCUUAAAAAUAAGUAAACAGGGCUGUGGAUGUAGCUGAUAGUAGAGUGUACCUAGUAUGUGUGAGGCCCUAGGGUCAGUCUUCAGUUCUGAAAAAACUACAAAAAAGAACAGACAAUAUCACAUAUUUCAGAAAGGAUAAAAUUCUUACCUAAGUGCACACCUGUAAUUCCAGCAUUAAGCCAGGAGCACUGUGAAUUCAAGGCAAGCCUGACUACCUGCUUUGGGGUACCGGGGAUUGAACUCAGCACCGUGUGCUUGCCAGGCAGGCAGUUUGAAGCACCACUGAGCUACAUGCCGGGCCUCUGAAGGCAGCUUUAAACCUGUCAGGUGGAAGGCAUCAUGUGAAUAAAAGGUAAACAGGAUGAGGAAUGGAACGUAAAGGAAGUUUGUUAAAUAAUUUAUUUAUUUUUUGUACCAGGGAUCGAACUCGGGUCCUUGCGCUUGCACAGCAGGUGGGAAAACCACUGAGCUAAAUCCCUGGCCCUUUCUAAAUAAUUUUAAUGAGUUUGAGAAAUGUAUUGACUUCUGUACACUAAUUAGAACAAGACUUAAGUGAUCUGGUUCUGGGUUUCUUAGUUCUCUGAGGUUAACCUCUGGUUUUCCCGUACAUAGGCGUAGGUACAUUUGUGUUAAGAGAAAAGGAAUUAAUGUUACGAAAAGUAGGAAUGUGUGUGCUAUAGUGGUUUUUGCUUACAUAAUGUGAUUCAUGGAUGGGAAAAAUGGGAUAAAGGAAUAUUUCUUGUCUAUAAUGCCUUAAUUUGUAUUUCCUAAGCACCUUUUUAUAGGGUGCCCACAAUCUUCUUUUUUUUAAUUUUUGGUACCAGGGAUCGAACUCGGGUACUUGCCCUUUCGGAGCAGGCAGAGGAACCACUGAGCUAAAUCCCUGGCCUUACAAUCUUCUGAUAAGUAUUUUCUAGUGGACUGGAGAAAGAAUACACUAUAAUUUUUAUGUUGUCU